GUACCCUCAAGCUUUGCUUGGUGUUGGGUGUUUGUCCACUGCCCUUGUGCAGGACGGACUCGCCUUAAAACAAUUGGCAGCCGGCAGAUUGGCCUGGAGCGCAGCACAUUUUGCGCCCCUGGUCGACACUGUUGGCAUCCAUCAAGACCUUCUUUUAGC
Molecule: unclassified non-coding RNA, 159 nt
Filed under: Plenodomus tracheiphilus
Lineage: Eukaryota; Fungi; Ascomycota; Dothideomycetes; Pleosporales; Leptosphaeriaceae
Description: sequence contains ITS2
Source: RNAcentral